This 2450-nucleotide long non-coding RNA is filed under the name Sus scrofa (pig). RNAcentral describes it as "lncRNA (ENSSSCG00045030674.1)". Lineage: Eukaryota; Metazoa; Chordata; Mammalia; Artiodactyla; Suidae. The record is from RNAcentral.
CACCUGCUGCUGCUGCUGGUUACACUUGGCCUUCAGGCGCUGGUUCUCCGACUUUGUGGGGUGUGAUGAGAAUCAGCUGGAAGGCUCAGGAAGCAGCCUGGGCUCGGGGCCCCCUGGGUCUUGGUCGUUUGAGCAAGUUCUCAGCUAGAUUCUCAUGCCUCCCAAAGCUGAAGAGCCUCUGAGGCUCUAGGUGCCUUGGGCGGCCAGUCUCUGGCUGCUGCCUGCCCUCCCCGCACCUGGGAUGCCCGUUCCCCUCCUGUCCCCUCUGAUGCCUGACCCGCAGUGAGUUCCUGCUUCCCCUUGCCUGGACCACUCCUCUGGCCCUGACCACACGUCCCACCUUGCACAGGACUGCGUUUUUCUUGUGGGCUGUUCCAUACCCUCCCUGUUUUCACAGAGCCCUCGUGUUGGGUGGGCCCCUGGCUGUCAUCUGUCACGUCUUCCCGCCUUCCCUGAGCAGGGGGAUCCUGGGUUGCCAAGGGCCGAGGGGAGUGCUUGAGGAGCAGGGCGGGGCAGGCCCCUGACCAGCUCUGCCUCAACCACAGGAGAGGAGGCUGCUGCGGAUGACAGAGCCAUCCAUGAGCGGGACCUGGCCUGGCUGCAGCAGGCAGAUGUGGUUGUGGCAGAAGUGACCCAGCCCUCUCUGGGUGUCAGCUAUGAGCUGGACCGGGCCGUGGCCCUCGAAGAACCAGUCCUCGGGAGUUGCUGUCAUGGUGCAGCAGAAACAAAUCCAACUAGGAACCAUGAGGUUUUGGGUUUGAUCCCUGGCGUCGCUCCAUGGGUUAAGGAGCCAGCAUUGCCGUGAGCCAUGGCUUAGGACACAGACACAGCUCAGAUCUGGCAUUUUUGUGGCUGCUUUGUAGGCCGGCAGCUGCAGCUCCAAUUCGACCCCUAGGCUGGGAACCUCCAUAUGCCACAGUUGUGGCCUUCAAAAGCAAAAAAAGAAAAAAGGAAAAAACCAGUCCUGUGCCUGUUCCUCCAGUAGUGUGACUGAGGUGAGCCCUCCCAGCCCUGGAUGGACACCCCCCUUCCCCCAGAUCUCUGAGGACAGUGCUCACUGUGAAAAGGGGUGGGAAAGGGGGGGGAGUGUGGGAGGCCACCUUCACCUCCCUCGGCCCUUCCCAGUGCUCUCAGCCAUGAUCCAGGGAGCUGACGAUGACUCGAGGUUCCAGGUGUGGGACUACCACCAGGCAGAGGCAGAGGCCAUGCUGGAUCAGUACUUUGAGGCUGAUCCUCCCGAGCAGGUGACCUCCCCCUCCCCUGACCCACCCGCUUGACUGAAGCCCAGGUCAUUAAAUUCUUCUGACCCCCACACUCUGCUCCAAUGUGAUCGUGUGACUCUUGCCUCUUAGCCCCAGGACCACAUUCGAAGGUAUGGUUACAACUCUAUGUGUGCUGAGUGCAGAGCAGGGGUGAAAACAGUACUAUCCUCUAAACAUUCCCAUCCACUUCAAGAUGUCAAGAGACCCUUUAAAGGCCCAUAUGCGCCCCCCGCCCCCCAAGAGGAGGAAACUUCCUCAUGCUCUCAGGCUCCUCCCAGGGACAUUCAAGGUUGUGGAGGAAGCAGAUCAUGUUGGGUGGCCAUUCCUCUCGCUGUCUCUGAUGCUGGGCUUGACACCUAAGUGUCCAUUCGUGGAUGAAUGGCUCAAGAAAACGUGUGUGUGUAUAUAUACACAAAUGGAAUAUUACUCAGCCAUAUAAAAGGAAGUCCUGCCAGUUCCAACAAUGUGGAUGGACCUUGAGGUAUGAAGCUAAGGGAAAUAAGUCAGACAGAAAAAACAAAUACUAUAGCACAUCACUUACAUGUAAAAUUAAAAAAAAAAAAAUCUCAUAGACCCAGAGAACAGAUUGUUGUUUUCUAGCAGUUGGGGGUUGGGUUGGGGGAAUUGGGUUCAGAUGGUCAAAAGUUACAAACCUCCAGUGAUAAAAUAAUUAAGUCCUGGGGAUACAAUAUACAGUGCGGUGACUAUAGUUAAUACUGUGCCUUUGAAAAUUGCCAAAAGAGUAGAUCUUAAGAGUUCUUAACACACACAAAACUUGUGACUAUGUCUGGUCAUGGAUAUUAGCCAAACGUAUUGUGGUGAUCAUUCCAAAAUACAUGGAUCCCAUUGAAUACCUGAAUGUAAUGUAUGCCAAUUCUCUUUCAGUACUUAAGAAUCCACAUGGAGUUCCUGGCAUGGCUCAGCAGUAACUAGUAUCCAUGAGGAUGUCAGUUUGAUCCCUAGCCUUGCUCAUUGGGUUAAGGAUCCGGUAUUGCCAUGAGCUGGGGUGUAGAUUGCAGACUCAGCUCCAGUCUGGCGUGGCUGUGGCUGUGGCGUUAGGCUGGCAGGUACACCUUGGAUUUGCCCCCUAGCCUGGGAACUUCCAUAUGCCAGUGGUGCAGCAUAGGGGAACUUCCAUAUGCCAGUGGUGCAGCAGUAAAAAAAAAAAAAAAAAAAAAAAAAAAAAAA